UACGUAGGGUGCAAGCGUUGUCCGGAAUUAUUGGGCGUAAAGAGCUCGUAGGCGGUCUGUCGCGUCGGCUGUGAAAACUCGGGGGCUCAACCCCGAGCCUGCAGUCGAUACGGGCAGACUAGAGUGCUGUAGGGGGAGACUGGAAUUCCUGGUGUAGCGGUGAAAUGCGCAGAUAUCAGGAGGAGCACCGGGUGGCGAAGGCGGGGUCUCUGGGCAGUAACUGACGUGAGGCGCGACAGCGUGGGGGAG
This 249-nucleotide ribosomal RNA is filed under the name uncultured bacterium. RNAcentral's name for it is "partial 16S ribosomal RNA". It matches the Rfam family "Bacterial small subunit ribosomal RNA", at positions 524 to 769 of the family's 1533-position model. The record is from RNAcentral.